Molecule: ribosomal RNA, 1410 nt
Filed under: Triticum aestivum (bread wheat)
Lineage: Eukaryota; Viridiplantae; Streptophyta; Magnoliopsida; Poales; Poaceae
Description: partial small subunit ribosomal RNA
Source: RNAcentral
AUGGCGUGCCGGGCUCACAGGUCAAAGGCAAGGAGGUCCAGGGAGCCGGUGUUUGUGAUGAUGCCGCUGGACACCGUCAACAAGUGCGGGAGCGGGCUGAACCGGAGGAAGGCCAUGGUCGCCAGCCUCACGGUGCUCAAGAGCGUGGGCAUGGAGGGCAUCAUGGUGGACGUGUGGUGGGGCACCGUGGAGAGUGAGGACCCCGACAAGUACAACUUCGCCGGGGUACAUGGAGUCAUGCAAAUGGCGCGCAAGACUGGGCUCAAGGUGCAGGCCGUCAUGUCCUUCCACCAGUGCGGCGGCAACGUUGGCGACUCCGUCAACAUCCCGCUGCCCAGGUGGGUAACGAAGGAGAUGGACAAGGACCAGGACCUCGCCUACACCGACCAAUGGGGACGCCGUAACUACGAGUACGUCUCGCUCGGCUGCGACGCCAUGCCCGUCCUCAAGGGCCGCACCCCCGUCCAAUGCUACAGCGACUUCAUGCGCGCCUUCCGUGACCAUUUUGCUGACUUCCUCUGCAACACUAUCGCCGUACGUCGCACAUCCCUAGGGCCCGCCGGCGAGCUGCGUUUUCCUUCUUACCCGGAGAGCAACGGUACCGGGAGGUUCCCCGGCAUCGGCGCUUCGAAUGCUACGACAGGGUACUUACUUAGCAGCCUGAUGGCAGCAGCCGAGGCGGCGGGCAAGCCGGAGUGCGGUUUCACCGGGCCAACGGACGCCGGUGACUACCUCAGCUGGCCGGAGGACACGCUCUUCUUCCGUCAGGAUGGCGGCGGCUGGGACAGCCAGUACGGUCACUUCUUCAUGUCCUGGUACCCGCAGAUGCUCCAGGACCACGGCGACCGCGUGCUGUCGGGCGCGACGUCCGUGUUCGCCAGCACGCCGGGCGUACACCUCUCCGCCAAGGUGGCCGGCAUCCACUGGCACUACGGCACCAGAUCCCAAGCGCCGGAGUUCACCGCGGGGUACUACAACACCAGGCACCACGACGGGUACCAGCCCAUCGCGCGCAUGCUGGCCCGCCACGGCGCGGUGCUCAACUUCACCUGCGUGGAGAUGCGCGACCACGAGCAGCCCCAGGACGCGCAGUGCAUGCCCGAGGGCCUCGUGCGACAGGUCGCCGCGGCCUCCCGCGGCGCCGGCAUCGGCCUGGCCGGCGAGAACGCGCUGCCCCGGUACGACGACACGGCGCACGACCAGGUGGUGGGCACCGCCGUGGAGCGCGCCGAGGAGGACCGGAUGGUGGCCUUCACGUACCUCCGCAUGGGCCCCGACCUGUUCCAGCCCGACAACUGGCGGAUGUCCAAGUCCGGGUCGUGCAGGGAGGCCGCCGAGCGGGCGGCGCACGGCGUCGCCCACGCCACGGGCUCGCUCGUGCACGAGGCCGCCGCCGCGCUACGGUGCUGA